AAAAGACUUCGAAAAGGAAAUUAUUUUAUAAAAUCCAAAAAAGGUCAUAACAAGUCUUGGCUCAAAAAUAAGAAAUAUUUACUAUAUCCUCAUUUUAUUAGGACUAAAAAAUAAAUGCUUAAAGAAAUACUCAUGGAGAUUUACAAGUCAUGAUAUUGUCAGAAAGCAGCCCAAUUGAUACUCUUCUGAAUUCUCAUUUUUUACAGUAAAAUACAAAUUAAAAUUUUCAAAACAUAAAUUACUGAUUGAUACCAAAUGAAAUUUUGAAUAUGUAUUCUCUUUCAAAAUCUGGAAUGCAUUUUGGAAAGCAAAACAAACAGGUUCCUUAUCCUCUAAACUCACAGAGCAUACAUAAAUUAAUCCACUAGCAAUUACGGAUGCGGUGCUCAUGGGAAAACAAAUAACAGAAACAAGCAUCCAUCUGACAACCGACCUGCUUUCCUAUCUCAUCCAUAAUAAUCAUCCUAGGCAAUGAUUGAACCUGCACAAAAUAUUUUGUCAUAAUCUUAGCAGAGAAUCUAGUCAAAUCAUGGUGGUGAGGUAAUUAAUGCUUGAAAAUACCAAUUUUGAAAGAGAUCCCAGAGUUGUGGCGCUUGAGUGAAUAUUAAAACACGUAUGUUGCCGUGACAAGACAUCCAAUUCCCUGCAGAAUAAUUAUGAUCAAUGAGAAAUAUGCUCACGUUGAGCUACAACUUUGAGUUCUCCAAGACAUUAAGAAUUUUAUAAUUAAUAUAGACAAAUUCUAUAGAUAUAGAAGUCUUAAAAAUUCAGUAAAAGAAAAACACGUGAGCAACAAAAUGAGGUGUGAAGAAUUCUAGAACAAAACUAAUUAAUUUCACAAUGACAAACAGCCAGCUGGUGAAAAUUGCUGUUUUCAGCUUCUACUGCAGUACUUAUUGCUAGUUUUUAAUAUGCAGUAAAUGAAAAGUACGGGUAAUAGAGCAUAUUUAUUAAUCCCUAUAUUCUUGACCAUUUUCUCACCAUUCUGUGAAGCCUUUUUCACUGGCUAAAAGACUGUACGUGCCCAUUGCACCCACAUGAAGACUACCAGAUUUUAGACCAAAAAGUUGCCGGAAUUGCCCCACAAAAACUUCAAAAACUUUCUGAAGGUCCUGUUUCGGAAGAUGCAAGCGUCAAAGUUGAGAUACAUAAAUAAAAGCAAUCUGCUACAAUAGAACACGGGUUUCUAGUCACUUCAGCUAGAGAAACAAAUACAAACGAUUUCGUACAAUCCUCAAUUACAUAAAUAAAUCACUUUGAUUCCCCAGCCCAAAAAAAAGUUGCAGAUUGUUCUGUAAUACUGGAAAUAAAUAAGCAGCAAAGGCAUAUUAUUUCUCUUCUUAACUUUAUACACUAAGUUGAGAUCGAAUCAACUAGCAAACAAAGCAGGUUUGACAACAGUAUCCCUUAGACUUUGUAAGCAUAACAGGGCAAAAGUACUGACUGAAUGUAUACCAAGAGAAACUUGGAUGAUAGAUGUAGACUAGAUUGCCAGGAACCUAGAAUAAGGUUUUAUAAGAAACCCAACGGGUAGCAACCCAAUCCGUGUGAUUGUAAAAUGAACAAUAAAACAAAUGAGCCACCAAAAUGAAACAAGUUUCAAAGCCACUAGCUGGUAUUUGAGUUAUGCUUCAAUGAACUUUGGAUAUCAUUUUAAACUUCAAUUUAUCAAACUUGACAACACAGUGAUAAAAUUUAAAUGAGAAGGCAUGUUUCAGCCAAACAGGGCAGAUACUGAACUUGGCAUGACAUAUGAGAUAGAAUAAAAAAGGGGUCAAGAUUGGGAACAUUUCGGUUUCAAGUGGAACACCCAGGCCAAUUUUCAUGCCGAUGAAAAAAAUUGCAUAUGUAGACUAGACGCUCUAGGAUAAUUUUAUAGAUAAAAAUCUGACCUCAGGAGACAUUAUAUGCCUAACAAGAAGCUCACUGUCUGAAUCCCUUGAACAGCUUUGAGGAUUCCACACCAUGACACCUCCCCACAUCUGUGAUAUGACAUUUAGAGACAAAUUACAAUGUAUGGCAAUAAUUUUGUAAGAAUCAUUGGUUGAUAGACAAUUGAGUACGAAGCCAAUAAAUGUGUGAUAACUAACUGGAGAUAUAAAGGCAUUUGUUUUAGAAAUCUCUCCAUUUGGAAGCUGUAGAAGAAGGGGACAUUCCUUUGCAGAUGGCACAUAUCUGAAACAAAAAGGAAAGAGAAUUGAUAUAGCAAGCUUUGGAUGAAACAAAAUCCUUUUAUCUCCUUAAACUAAUGACUGGAGAUUAAGCCUUUGUUACCAGAAACAAACACGAAAAAGUCAUUUGAAAAAGGGAAGGAGAUUGAGUAAAAGAAUGUACACCACAAAUUGCAAGAUUUUCGAUCGCCCACCAGCAGCAAUAGAAGUAUCCAAGUGCCACUCAUUUGAGUUCACCUAUUAAAAAUAUUUGAAAACAUUAGAAACAUUAGACAAAAUAACAAGAUCAAAAGUCCAUCAUCAGUGAGUAAAGUAAGAAAAUGUAUACAACCAAAGCAAAUCAUCUGAGGGCUGGGACCAAGGUGUUGUUUGGUUUAAGCAAAGUUAAAUGGUCUAACUGUCUAGUUUCCCAAAAAAUAAAGCUCAGGAACAUGAAGAAACUUACAAAGAAAGGAAGAUCCUUUGUACUAAAAAUAUAGCCACCUAAUUUUUCAUCCCAAGAAGAAACUGAAAACUUUGGAGUAUGGUACAAAACCUAUCCAUAAGAAAGAUCACCAAGAAGAGGAAACACAGUAAGAUUUCAACUGCAAACAAAAUUACCAUAAAUACCAGGAAUCCAUAAAUCAUUAAGGAACAAGGAUGAUUCAUUACUUGGCUCUCCACGCUUAUGUUUGCUAUCGGUCCCAACGCAUCAAUCAUAGGAGCCAACAGAGUUUCAUCUAUUUUCCGAAAAUCCCUGCAAUACAAUGGACUAACUGAACACGCAAUAACUUUGAGCAGACAACUAAAUCCCUAUUUACAAUAGUUCCCAAGAUAGCAAGCAAACACAAAUUCCAUGUAUAUGUACUAUACCUACCCAUAACGACACCUGUUUCACGAGUAAUCACACAGAUGCUAGUUUCAAUCACUAAUCACCACCGAGUUAGACAGAAAGCUAUAAAGAACUACAAGAAAGCGAAGCUUCCUUACCAAUCGUAAGUCCAAUCACUGGGAUCCGCAUUGAGCAAGUUAAACGAAAGAACAAUCCUCCCAUCAGCACCAACAGGCAUAAACUCCCCAUGAAUCAACCCUUCCUCUCUCCCGCCAUUCACAAACACUCUGACAAAAAUCUCCGCCAAUCUCUCUGCCACUUCUUCAACUCCCCAAUCCCUCCCUACAAUCCAAGCGUGCCGGUACUUCCCAACAACCACUUUCACUCCCUCCACACCAUCUCCAUUCACCACCACCACCACACUAUACACUUUCCCGCCAGAAUCCAAACCAGCAGACUCCAAAGCUUCAUCGACACUCUCAUCGUCACCGAAAUCCAAAUCAACGGCUCGGAUCGCGCCGCACUUGUAAAACUUAGACGAAGAUUGCGUGCAACCCCCGUCGUCUAGGGUUAGCGAGAGAGUGAAGUUGUUGGUGCAGGCUCCGCAUUGAGAUGCUAUUCCUUUGGAGGCUAAUUUGGUAAUCUUAGAGCGAAUUGAGAGUUCAAGCUCGUCUAAAUUUAGGUCAAUUGAAGAAGAUUUGGGAUCGGAGGGGACAAGAAUGGCUUGGAAAUGGCAAGGAAAGAGGAAUGGAUUGGAGACGACGUCGUUUGAGAGGCUAUCGAUGUCGUGGAAAGGAAGCGGAGAGCGGUAGAUCUCAACGGAUUUGAAUAAAAAAGGGAAACCUAAAAGGAAGGAGACAAGGACUGUGAAAGUGAGGAAGAGGCGCUUCAACCCCGGUUUUGUUCUGCGCAUGGUUUUCGAGUCGAAUUCCGGUUCAGAUGGUGGAGUUGGCGGUGUUUCUGGUGGUGGGUCAUCUGGAGAUUCGGUGAUUUCUUCUGCCAUGUUAUUGAUCACUGAUUAGUGCUUGAUGCUCUUGCUCUUCUUUCUUUCUUGAUCAACGAGCUGUGAAGCCGCUGCAUCCAUUAAACAACGGAGAAUGAGACACUUUACUUUAUCUCUAAGAUUUUAUAGCAUAGUUAUUAAAUCCGACCGUGCACUAUGCUUGAAAUUUGUUAAUGUGCACAAGCUAAGGUUCUGUUCAAGAUUUUAGCUCUUUUUUUUUAAAAAAAAAAUUAUCAAUAAAAAAAAAAGGAUAGAACUAACGGGAAAAAAAAAUCUUUAGACCUGAUUUUUUAUUUAAUUCAAAUUUAAAAUUAAAUUAUAUAAAACUGUUCUAGUAUAAUUUAGCUUCCUCGAUUUAAAAUUAACUGUAAUUAUUAUUAAAAAAAUCAAAAGAUAAAUUUUUUAAAAAAAAGAAUAAGAGAAAAGGAGGGAAGGGGCUGAAAUGAAAAAAUAAAUAGAAGAGGAGCUUCUUGGUAACCUACUGUACUUGACUUUUUACUGUAGAAAAACAAGGGGUCUCCUUGAGACUUGAGAGCGAUGGUCAUCGACGACAAUAUUGAGCUCUAAAUUCAAAGAAAUAUGGGUAUGGUAAGCAAUCCGACGUUAUCUAUGUCUUGUUGCUAGUGUUUAUUUGUCAACGAAUCGUAAUAACACUCACCAUUCUCUCCUGCUCUUCACCAUCGCCUCUAUCGACUCCUAGCUACGCGCCUUUUACAUGUUUGUUAUAAGUUCCCAGAGAAGCCCAGAUGCGUGAAGAAUGAGAACUUACAUAAUCAAAUCUCUUUUCAAACACCCGUUUACCUUCUCUAUCACAAUCCGAUCGCAAACAACGUCAGCACAGUACGUAGCAUCGAGAGCUAGAGAUGCUACAUUUGAGAAGCUAAUGGACAAGUAUAAAAACUUUGUCAAGGUCAUUGCCAUUCAAGAUUUGAUUCUCUCAAACCCUAACAAAACCCCUCCAUGCAUUUCACUUGAUUUCCUUUCAAAACUUUCUCAGAAGCUCCACCUUAACCGCGGCGCACCUUCGUUUCUCAGAAAGUACCCUCACAUUUUCCACAUUUUCUAUGACCCCGCGAAAUCCCAGGCUUUUUGCAGACUAACUGAUACUGCUCUUGAAAUUUCUCGCAAAGAAGAAGAAGCUGUCAAUGCCUCAUUGCCUCUUGUUGUUGACCGAUUGGUUCGGCUUUUGUUUAUGUCAACGUCCAAAUCACUGCCACUUCGUGCUGUUUUUAAAGUUUGGAGGGAGCUGGGCCUUCCUGAUGACUUUGAGGAUUCGGUGAUAGUGAAAAACCCGAACCUUUUUAGACUUUGUGAUGGAAAUGAACCGCGUACACAUGUUUUGAAGCUGGUUGGUGAAUUUCCUGAUAAUCAUUUUACGGCAGCGGUUGAAAAUUGGAGGGUUACGGAGUGUUGUAGGGAGGACUGUAGUGUUGAUAGAAUGGACAUACGGUAUAGUUUUAAACAUGUGUAUCCGCCAGGAAUGAGGUUGAGCAAGACUUUCAGGGCGAAAGUUAAAGAAUGGCAGAGCUUGCCUUAUUUAGGACCCUAUGAGGACUUGAUGGAGAAGAAGAAGAAGACUAAGGCAGGACUUAAGGGAUUGGAGAAACGGGCAGUUGCUAUUGUGCAUGAAUUCUUGAGCUUGACAGUGGAGAAAAUGGUGGAAGUGGAGAAGAUCAGUCAUUUCAGGAAUUGUUUCGGGAUUGAUAUGAACAUAAGGGAUUUGUUCUUGGAUCAUCCAGGCAUGUUUUAUUUGUCUACUAAGGGGAAGAGACAUACUGUUUUCUUAAGAGAAGCGUAUGAGAGGGGUCGUUUGAUAGAUCCUAAUCCAGUUUAUGAUGUUAGGAGAAAGCUUCUUAUCUUGUUUUUCUGGGGCGCCAUGAUAUGCUGACUAGUAAAUCAAGGUCCGUGGAGAUUGACAAGAGCGAGGAGUCUGGAUCAGAAAAUGAGAAUGUUGACUGAAUUAACAAAUUUUCAGUUGUGUAAGCUUUUGUGUACACAUAGCAUGGUCCAGUCACAUAGAUUUGACGUUUUGUGGUGUAUAAUUGAAGAUUUCCAAAGUGGGGGGAGAUGAUCAUUUGAGCAGGCUCAAGCUAACCAGCUUCGAGCUAUCCAACUUGUCAUGAGUGAUGCUCUCAAACCAUUCUCCAGGAGGGCUAGGCUAACCUACUUCAAACCCACUUGUUAAAGAUAGGUUUUUAAGAUACUCAUAAACUAAAGGUGGAACCAAAAGGCUUGAACAAGAGGACUGCGGAACUUUAAGAAGGGUCCCUGGCACUAUAGGCCGCAUAAGUGAAAACAUGGCACCUGUCAUGUUUUGGGAUGGAGCUUCAUGCUGUCAAGGUUGUGCCACUGCUCUUCAACAACUUCGCUCAGAGAGCGAUGAUUUAGAGGAGCUUACAAGUUGAGAUUCUAGAGCAGUAAGCAUUUAUGCAUGUGCAAAGAUUGUGAAGGCUUAGCUUAGUUUCUGUACCCUGUUAAGUCCUGAAAGUCUGUUGAUAUAGAAGCUUCUGUUAAAUUGGGAAACAUCCAUUAAUGCAGAUGUUUCUAGUCAAGACAUCUAAGAUUUGUUGCAGAAGAAUUGGGAUGCCUUUGUUAAAUGCUCGUGUGUCUUGUGGUGUUUGUUUAUUGUAUCGGGACAUAAGAUGAAGACAAUGAAGAUUGAGAGCUGUUUCUUGAUAUUUAGUAUAAAAAUUGACUUCAAAACUACAUUGAUUGAUUAGUCAUAAUUUGAUUUCAAGAUAGCAUUUUUUUUUCCGAUAAAAAAAUAAAAGAUAAAAGGGUUAAGUGAAUAAAAUUAAAAUAAAAAAAUUAUUUACACCGGUAAAUAAAUCAUCUUUAAAACAGCAAUAAUGAUUAAUUACAAUUUAAUUUCUAAAAUUAUAGUUAUUUUUUAAUUUAGGAUUGUUUAAUAUUGUGCUAAUAAUAAUUUUUCAAAAUAUUAUUUUGUAAAAUUUAUUUUUGAUAUUAAAAUAUCAAAACAAAAAUAUUAAAAAUUUUAUUUUAAAAUAAAAAAAUAAAAAAUAUUUUUUAAAAAAAGGGUUUUGAAAUACAAAUGAGAAAGGAGCUAUAAAAACUAUUUUCAAAACAGAAAAUUAAGUUUAUAAGAACUUAAGUUACUUAUCAAUAAUAACAACAGUAGUCAAAUUAGACCAUGUGAACUCCAUUUCCCUCCCUUUUCCCAGCGGCUACUUAUCAAUUUUGUGCAAUUACAUUGAACUGUGCUAUGAAUUACUAGGUGCUUACCAUAAAAGCUGGCUUUCCAUCAAGAGUUGUAAAGAAGAAUGAGUCUGCCACCAUUUAGUUGCCUCUAGUAGUGUGUUUGUCUUGCAUUUUAAAGUGUUUUUUGAAAUACAUUUGAACUAAAAAAAAACAUGAUUUAAUUACCUAAUUAUAAUAAAAUAAAAUAAAAAAACUUGAGCUUCUUCACUAAAUAGCCCUCUAAUAAACACAGCAGCUCCAAGAAAAUUCUCAGGAAACAAUCGAUUCCUCCAUUGUCACAGAAAAUAGAAAAUAGAAAGCCUCUAAUAAGCCUUCACUGGGUCAAAUGGAUUCAAUGAUUGCUUGUAUUGUGAACAGUUUUCUUCCUUGGGUGUUUGGUAUUUUUUGGCAUUUGUGAUGGGGUUUAAAACCUUUGGAAGGAACUAGGACGUGGCCUGUAAGUAUUAGCAAAUGAUUAGAUACACGCAGCAGCCAAACUGGAAGAUAAAUACCCAAAGUGCAGCCCCUUGCUCAUUGAAUUGCCUCUGCGAUGUCAUCUGGAACCCUUCUCUCCGGCAGAUGGGGCCUUGUUCAUGAAAAAUCACUUCCACGGCUAGUAACUAAGAUGCCACCUUUUCUUUAGCCUUCCAUAGCAAGUACUUUGCCUUUUCUUGCUUGUAUCUUCUCCAUUCUCUUAAUGCAGCAGGGAGGACAAGCAUUGAAACUGGCAAGAAGAAUGGCUGUGGAAAUAGUACCAAAACCACGUGUAAGAAUAAAUCUGGGCUAUUAAAAAACUUGACAGUGGUAUUCUACAGAAAUUUGUUAGUAUAGGAAACUCGAAUAGGAUAAAGAACAAAAAAAAUAGCUCCCAGAAACAUACCGAGUACACUGCAAAACAGUGCUCAAACGAGUAGUAGCUGACAGACAUGAUUGAUGGGUGGAAGAAGGCAUCCUCUGCCAAAGAUCUUGCUUGUCUUGAGGACACUGAGACAACAAGAUUAAACUCAUAUUUAGGCUCCCCUUGAUGAUUCAAAGUUUUGACAGGAAAUCCUCAUCAGAAGGAACAAGAAUGGAACUGCAAAGUAGUGCAUAGGAACAUACCAGCUGAAGCAUCGUAAAAUCCAAGAGAGGCGUUAACUCUAGCUAAUUUUGCUGCUUCAAGGGAAAAUUUUACCUGUACAAAGAGAUGAAAUAUCACGACAAAUGACAACUCAAGCAGGACAAGAUUCAAAUGAUAAUAAGCAAUGACAAUUGUAAAUUCCAGGAAAAAAAUCAUUAGGUAAAAUUGGAAUAAAAAGAUUAACAGGCCUUGGGAAUGAAAUGGCCAAGACUAACAUAGAAUAUAUACGAAAGAACAAGGUGAUUAUAUGUUACAGUAACAGAGUUGGUCCCACGUUCCUGCUAAUGUAUCAGGAAAUUAAGAUGCACUGUUUGUAUCGGGAGGAACCUUCUAGGAAUAGGAAUUGAUUUUGUUUUAAAAGAAAUGAACUUUUCCAUAAAAGAGACUUUGAUUGAAAAUAACAGAGACCAUUUAUGGCCAGAAGAUAUUUAGAUAUUAAAUAAUUUUAAAAAGACUUUGAAAAAGGAAAUUAUUUUAUAAAAUCCAAAAAAGGUCAUAACAAGUCUUGGCUCAAAAAUAGGAAAUAUUUACUAUAUCCUCAUUUUAUUAGGACUAAAAAAUAAAUGCUUAAAGAAAUACUCAAGGAGAUUUACAAGUCAUGAUAUUGUCAGAAAGCAGCCCAAUUGAUACUUUUCUGAAUUCUCAUUUUUUACAGUAAAAUACAAA
This 8969-nucleotide long non-coding RNA is filed under the name Populus trichocarpa (black cottonwood). RNAcentral describes it as "long non-coding RNA (PTRI_LNC000778)". The record is from RNAcentral. Lineage: Eukaryota; Viridiplantae; Streptophyta; Magnoliopsida; Malpighiales; Salicaceae.